UACGUAGGUGGCGAGCGUUAUCCGGAUUUACUGGGCGUAAAGGAUGCGUAGGUGGAAUUUUAAGUGGGAUGUGAAAUACCCGGGCUCAACCUGGGAACUGCAUUCCAAACUGGAAUUCUAGAGUGCAGGAGAGGAAAGCGGAAUUCCUAGUGUAGCGGUGAAAUGCGUAGAGAUUAGGAAGAACACCAGUGGCGAAGGCGGCUUUCUGGACUGUAACUGACACUGAGGCAUGAAAGCGUGGGGAGCAAACAGGAUUAGAUACCCUGGUAGUCCACGCCGUAAACGAUGGGUACUAGGUGUAGGGGUUUCGAUACCUCUGUGCCGCCGUAAACACAAUAAGUACCCCGCCUGGGGAGUACGGUCGCAAGAUUAAA
RNAcentral lists this ribosomal RNA (374 nucleotides) under uncultured bacterium. RNAcentral describes it as "bacterial SSU rRNA". It matches the Rfam family "Bacterial small subunit ribosomal RNA", at positions 524 to 898 of the family's 1533-position model. The record is from RNAcentral.